This 425-nucleotide RNase P RNA is filed under the name Actinophytocola sp. RNAcentral describes it as "RNase P RNA component class A". It matches the Rfam family "Bacterial RNase P class A". Rfam says of the family: Ribonuclease P (RNase P) is a ubiquitous endoribonuclease, found in archaea, bacteria and eukarya as well as chloroplasts and mitochondria. Its best characterised activity is the generation of mature 5'-ends of tRNAs by cleaving the 5'-leader elements of precursor-tRNAs. Lineage: Bacteria; Bacillati; Actinomycetota; Actinomycetes; Pseudonocardiales; Pseudonocardiaceae. The record is from RNAcentral.
CGAGUUGGCAGGGCGGCCGCGGGCGGUACUCGUCAGAGCACCGUCCGAGGAAAGUCCGGACUCCACAGGGCAGGGUGGUUGCUAACGGCAACCCGGGGUGACCCGCGGGAAAGUGCCACAGAAAACAGACCGCCGCCGUGGCGGAGCAGGUGCCUCUGGCGCAGGGGACGCAACGGCGGUAAGGGUGAAACGGCGGUGUAAGAGACCACCAGCACCCCGGGUGACCGGGGUGGCUCGGCAAACCCCACCCGGAGCAAGGCCAAGAGGGCACCUCGGUGCCUGCGCGAGCAACAGGGCGGCCCGUCCUCGCUCGCGGGUAGGCCGCUGGAGCCCGCCGGCGACGACGGGCCAAGAUGGAUGGUCGCCACCUGCGGCGCCGCGAGGUGUCGCAGGGACAGGAUCCGGCUUACAUGCCAACUCGUCCC